AUUGAACGCUGGCGGCAUGCUUUACACAUGCAAGUCGAACGGCAGCGCGGGCUUCGGCCUGGCGGCGAGUGGCGAACGGGUGAGUAAUACAUCGGAACGUGCCCAGUAGUGGGGGAUAGCUCGGCGAAAGCCGGAUUAAUACCGCAUACGACCUGAGGGUGAAAGCGGGGGAUCUUCGGACCUCGCGCUAUUGGAGCGGCCGAUGGCAGAUUAGCUAGUUGGUGGGGUAAAGGCCUACCAAGGCGACGAUCUGUAGCUGGUCUGAGAGGACGACCAGCCAUACGGGGACGGAGAGACGCCCCGGACCCCAGCGGGGGGCAGGAGUGGGAAAUUUUGGAGAAGGGGGGAAGGCUGAAUCCAGCAAUGCCGCGUGUGGGAGGAAGGCCUCGGGGUGGAAAAGGCCUUUUGGGGGGAAAAAAAAGGACUGUGGCAAAACCGCGUUUGGGAGGGGGAACCCGAAAAAAAGGCCCGGGCAAACUACG
This 482-nucleotide ribosomal RNA is filed under the name uncultured bacterium. RNAcentral describes it as "partial 16S ribosomal RNA". It matches the Rfam family "Bacterial small subunit ribosomal RNA", at positions 29 to 505 of the family's 1533-position model. The record is from RNAcentral.